UAAUUUUUUGAUACUCGUAAUGUACAUAUGACAUAAUUAGCUUACAUCCACAUAACCAGAUUAAAAUUGCUGAAUUAAUUUCAUUGCAAACCUGAAAUGCUGAAAAUAUUCCACCAGACGUUCCUUAUUGUCAGUGACGCUCCAUUGACAGUUCCAUUCUUCACUCAUCCGCAGCCUCGAUACACCUCAAUUUUCGGAAACCAUGAAAACUGUGCUUGUCAUUGUCCUCACCUUUUCUUUGGCUGCAACAUCCUUAGCCGCCCCGUGGAGAAAAUUGGUGGAAAAUCCGUCCGACCUUGUGGACGACGUGGAUCUUGGGGGUGAUUUCGAUGGGACCAACGAUGCCCAAAUUGUAGGACCUGUCCAAUCUAUUGGAGAUUUUGCCGGUUCAGCAAGACUUAAUUGUUGCUGGAUUAAUCGACAAUAGGGCAAAUGCAACAUUAUUUUAUCCUGUCGUCCACUUAAUAUUGGAAAUUGUACCCCUAAAAUUUUUCCCAAUGUGUGAAUAGAGAAAUAAAUCAUAAAAAACUCUUUAUCAA
Folsomia candida is the source of this 539-nucleotide long non-coding RNA. RefSeq lists it as uncharacterized. The record is from RefSeq and is a predicted model, not a curated record. NCBI's taxonomy places the organism in Eukaryota, Metazoa, Arthropoda, Collembola, Entomobryomorpha, Isotomidae. The transcript is spliced from 2 exons.